UUUUCGGAGGUACUCGAGUGGCGAACGGGUGAGUAACACGUGGGUGAUCUGCCCUGCACUCUGGGAUAAGCCUGGGAAACUGGGUCUAAUACCGGAUAGGACCGCACUUUAGUGUGUGUGGUGGAAAGUUUUUUCGGUGUAGGAUGAGCCCGCGGCCUAUCAGCUUGUUGGUGGGGUAAUGGCCUACCAAGGCGUCGACGGGUAGCCGGACUGAGAGGUUGGUCGGCCACAUUGGGACUGAGAUACGGCCCAG
RNAcentral lists this ribosomal RNA (253 nucleotides) under uncultured Actinomycetales bacterium. RNAcentral's name for it is "partial 16S ribosomal RNA". It matches the Rfam family "Bacterial small subunit ribosomal RNA", at positions 77 to 334 of the family's 1533-position model. The record is from RNAcentral. Lineage: Bacteria; Bacillati; Actinomycetota; Actinomycetes; Actinomycetales.